CAUAAAAAUUAUCCAUUUUUAACAUAAUAAUGGAAGUGUAAGCUAAGAGACAGUUUUAGGUAGACAAUUUCUAUGGGACGUAGGCCUUCCAAGAGGCAACAGAGGCAUGCAGAGGUUUCCUUGGACCGAACGAAGAUUGGCUCUUAAGUGCAAAGGUAGAAGGAAGCUUGACUGCAAGACCCACCUAUCAAGCAGGGACGAAAUUCGGCCUUAGUGAUCCGAUGGUGCCAAGUGGAAGGGUUGUCACUCAACAGAUAAAAGUUACUUUAAGAAUAAUAAGUUGAUCUUCCCCAAAAGCUCACAUCAACAAGAAGGUUUGGCACUUCAAUGUCGACUCUUCGCUGCCUAAAAUUGUAGUAUGUUCCAAGGGUUAAUUGGAUUGUUCACCCAUUAAAACAAACUUUAAAAUGCAUAUUAGAAAAAUUUAG
Molecule: non-coding RNA, 428 nt
Filed under: Vitis vinifera (wine grape)
Lineage: Eukaryota; Viridiplantae; Streptophyta; Magnoliopsida; Vitales; Vitaceae
Description: Bacterial large subunit ribosomal RNA
Rfam family: Bacterial large subunit ribosomal RNA
Source: Rfam by way of RNAcentral